RNAcentral lists this transfer RNA (75 nucleotides) under Pseudomonadota bacterium. RNAcentral describes it as "tRNA-Pro". It matches the Rfam family "tRNA". From Rfam's summary of the family: Transfer RNA (tRNA) molecules are approximately 80 nucleotides in length. Their secondary structure includes four short double-helical elements and three loops (D, anti-codon, and T loops). Further hydrogen bonds mediate the characteristic L-shaped molecular structure. tRNAs have two regions of fundamental functional importance: the anti-codon, which is responsible for specific mRNA codon recognition, and the 3' end, to which the tRNAs corresponding amino acid is attached (by aminoacyl-tRNA synthetases). tRNAs cope with the degeneracy of the genetic code in two manners: having more than one tRNA (with a specific anti-codon) for a particular amino acid; and 'wobble' base-pairing, i.e. permitting non-standard base-pairing at the 3rd anti-codon position. The record is from RNAcentral. RNAcentral also lists the same sequence under 3 other names. Lineage: Bacteria; Pseudomonadati; Pseudomonadota.
CGGGGCGUAGCGCAGCCUGGUUAGCGCACUAGACUGGGGGUCUAGGGGUCGCUGGUUCGAAUCCAGUCGCCCCGA